CAAAAUUCCUCCCCCAUACGCACAGAGCCACUACUACCGAUGCCGCCGCAUGAAUUCUCUUCGCCGACAACCGCGCAGCCUGCACACAGCCACCGCCGGCAAGAAGGUUUGAUUUUUUUGGUAUCAAGUAUGUCGACGAAAGAAGAGGAGAACGCAACGGAACUUAAAAUCCCCGAUGGUGUUGGUUGAAGGCGGAGGUAGCUCGAGAACCACAAUUCUGAAUAUGUCACAUUAUCUUAAUGCUCUUAACAACACUAUGGUGGUAAUAUUGUAUCCAUCUAUAAUAUGCUGAAAGAAGAUAGAAGUAUAAUUUUCUUGUCUAUUAUAUAGGUACACACAACCCUGUAUGGACAUAUUAUAGGUUAUGUUUUCGAUUCAUACAGGGAAGCUAGAGACUUGCAAGCAUUUCUUUGGGAGAAUAUAUCGUUUUAUAUACUUUAUUGGUGUGAAGGUUUUUAUCACGGCUGCUACAGUUUUGAAGGCCACGCUCAAUCUACAAACGACAUCUCGAGCGCAAACACUAAGGUUGUCCACGUCAAGCCAAUCGACCGGACAUUCAAAGAUCUCGUUCGUCACCCGUAACAGCCGUAUAUGUUCACUCUGAUGCUGGAUGGGACGAUGCAACAUUGCACAUAUUUCUAUGAUGAUUAACUUUUGUUUGUGGGUUGAUACUGACUGAGUCAUUUCUAUUUGUUGAACUUGCAUAUUCUGGUUCUUUUUGUGUGUUUGUUGCUAUGCUUUGCCCUUAGAUUGUAUAUGUUUGUCGUAUUGCAAAAUAAUUAUGUUCCUAAAGAGUGCAUACUUUGUGCAACUGA
This is an RNA transcript of Andrographis paniculata, 815 nucleotides long. RefSeq lists it as uncharacterized. The transcript has 5 exons. Lineage: Eukaryota; Viridiplantae; Streptophyta; Magnoliopsida; Lamiales; Acanthaceae. The record is from RefSeq and is a predicted model, not a curated record.